GAUGAACGCUGGCGGCGUGCCUAAUACAUGCAAGUCGAGCGAACAGACGAGGAGCUUGCUCCUCUGACGUUAGCGGCGGACGGGUGAGUAACACGUGGAUAACCUACCUAUAAGACUGGGAUAACUUCGGGAAACCGGAGCUAAUACCGGAUAAUAUAUUGAACCGCAUGGUUCAAUAGUGAAAGACGGUUUUGCUGUCACUUAUAGAUGGAUCCGCGCCGCAUUAGCUAGUUGGUAAGGUAACGGCUUACCAAGGCAACGAUGCGUAGCCGACCUGAGAGGGUGAUCGGCCACACUGGAACUGAGACACGGUCCAGACUCCUACGGGAGGCAGCAGUAGGGAAUCUUCCGCAAUGGGCGAAAGCCUGACGGAGCAACGCCGCGUGAGUGAUGAAGGUCUUCGAAUCGUAAAACUCUGUUAUUAGGGAAGAACAUAUGUGUAAGUAACUGUGCACAUCUUGACGGUACCUAAUCAGAAAGCCACGGCUAACUACGUG
This 497-nucleotide ribosomal RNA is filed under the name uncultured bacterium. RNAcentral's name for it is "partial 16S ribosomal RNA". It matches the Rfam family "Bacterial small subunit ribosomal RNA", at positions 28 to 507 of the family's 1533-position model. The record is from RNAcentral.